Non-coding RNA from Meloidogyne enterolobii, 102 nucleotides. NCBI's taxonomy places the organism in Eukaryota, Metazoa, Nematoda, Chromadorea, Rhabditida, Meloidogynidae. The record is from the annotation of a GenBank genome assembly.
CUUCCGUUAGCUCAGUUGGUAGAGCACCUGUACAUACGUGGUGAGCGAAAGCGCCUAGCAAUAACUGCCAGGAGGUCGCGGGAUCGAAUCCUGCCCGGGAUU